RNAcentral lists this ribosomal RNA (253 nucleotides) under uncultured bacterium. RNAcentral describes it as "partial 16S ribosomal RNA". It matches the Rfam family "Bacterial small subunit ribosomal RNA", at positions 524 to 776 of the family's 1533-position model. The record is from RNAcentral.
UACGUAGGGUGCAAGCGUUGUCCGGAAUUAUUGGGCGUAAAGAGCUCGUAGGCGGUUUGUCGCGUCUGCUGUGAAAACCCGAGGCUCAACCUCGGGCCUGCAGUGGGUACGGGCAAACUAGAGUGCGGUAGGGGAGAAUGGAAUUCCUGGUGUAGCGGUGGAAUGCGCAGAUAUCAGGAGGAACACCGAUGGCGAAGGCAGUUCUCUGGGCCGUAACUGACGCUGAGGAGCGAAAGCAUGGGGAGCGAACAGG